This is a long non-coding RNA of Onychostoma macrolepis, 932 nucleotides long. RefSeq lists it as uncharacterized. Lineage: Eukaryota; Metazoa; Chordata; Actinopteri; Cypriniformes; Cyprinidae. The transcript has 2 exons. The record is from RefSeq and is a predicted model, not a curated record.
UUUUGUUUUGUUUUUUUUUAUGCCAACUGGCGUGGGGAAAAUGCACAUUCUUUACAGAGAAUGAGUGGUUCUGCAAAUUUCAGGAGUGCAGCUCGAGCUGGAGGCCGUGAAAAAGCAGAUCCAUGAUCUGCUAGAGAAGCAGGCCCAGCUGCGUGAGCAGAGAGCCACGCUGGAAACAUCUCAGGCUAAUGCUCACAAGUCCGAUAUUAGUACGGUGCGACAUUAGUAAUGUCACUCCCACCACCUCUAUUGCCUGUGUUACUGCCUGCACAGGCCCAGUGCACCCAGGAUGCGAUCUUCCCAGGUCUCCUUCACUCUGGCGCUGGGACACCACGGACCUUGGGUGCACCAGCAGCCGAAUCGCGUCUUCAAGCCCCGGUUGAGGACCUCUCCCCCACCGCAGCCUCUGGUCUUCGAGAUCUCCACCCGGAACCGUUUCGCUUCCCUUCGCGAGACACUGUGAUCAUCAGAGACUCCAUCAUUCGGCACGUCCGUGCUACAUUAGCUGAAGAUAAAGUGCACACUCACUGUUUCACUGGUGCAUGUGUCCUCGAUGUUUCUGUGCAGAUACCGGCGAUCCUGAAGGGCGAUGAGAGCAUCGGAGCAGUCAUGCUUCACGUGGGGGGUGAUUGACAUCAAGCUGCGGCAGACGGAGAGACUGAAGAGAGCCUGAUCGAGACAGCAGUACAUCGCCCGUGACAAGGAUCAUUGUGUCAGCACCGCAUCCUACAUUGUGUCUUGAAUAGUGAGGUCAAAAUAUAAGUUUAACCCUCUGGAGUCUGAGGUCAUUUUGGGGCCCUUGAGAUGUUUUGACAUGCCCUGAUAUUUGUGCUUAUUUCAGCUACUAACAUACUAUUUAUUAUUGUUUAGCACGCUAUUAAAAUCUAUUUGUGAACAGAGUAUUAAUAAUAAACAUGGUCUAAACAUUCUUA